This 451-nucleotide ribosomal RNA is filed under the name uncultured bacterium. RNAcentral describes it as "bacterial SSU rRNA". It matches the Rfam family "Bacterial small subunit ribosomal RNA", at positions 354 to 796 of the family's 1533-position model. The record is from RNAcentral.
GUGGGGAAUAUUGGACAAUGGGGGGAACCCUGAUCCAGCCAUGCCGCGUGUGUGAAGAAGGCCUUUUGGUUGUAAAGCACUUUAAGCGAGGAGGAGGCUACCGAGAUUAAUACUCUUGGAUAGUGGACGUUACUCGCAGAAUAAGCACCGGCUAACUCUGUGCCAGCAGCCGCGGUAAUACAGAGGGUGCAAGCGUUAAUCGGAUUUACUGGGCGUAAAGCGCGCGUAGGUGGCCAAUUAAGUCAAAUGUGAAAUCCCCGAGCUUAACUUGGGAAUUGCAUUCGAUACUGGUUGGCUAGAGUAUGGGAGAGGAUGGUAGAAUUCCAGGUGUAGCGGUGAAAUGCGUAGAGAUCUGGAGGAAUACCGAUGGCGAAGGCAGCCAUCUGGCCUAAUACUGACACUGAGGUGCGAAAGCAUGGGGAGCAAACAGGAUUAGAAACCCGAGUAGUCA